RNAcentral lists this transfer RNA (69 nucleotides) under Schistosoma indicum. Its description in RNAcentral is "tRNA-His". Lineage: Eukaryota; Metazoa; Platyhelminthes; Trematoda; Strigeidida; Schistosomatidae. The record is from RNAcentral.
AUAUAAACAGGUUAAGUUAAACUUUCAACUUGUGGUGGUGGUGGGAUAUUAAAUGUAUCGAUAGAGACU